This 404-nucleotide unclassified non-coding RNA is filed under the name uncultured Orbiliaceae. RNAcentral describes it as "sequence contains ITS2". The stretch from base 1 to 154 matches the Rfam family "5.8S ribosomal RNA". The record is from RNAcentral. Lineage: Eukaryota; Fungi; Ascomycota; Orbiliomycetes; Orbiliales.
AACUUUUGACAAUGGAUCUCUUGGUUCUCGCAUCGAUGAAGAACGCAGCGAAACGCGAUAGGUAAUGUGAAUUGCAGAAUUCAGUGAAUCAUCGAAUCUUUGAACGCACAUUGCACCCUUUGGUAUUCCGAGGGGUAUGUCUGUUUGAGCGUCAUAAAAACCCAUCGGAGAACAGUUUGAUCUGUCCCCGGCUUUGAGCUUCUUGGAAGAUACCCUAGGGUCUAUUCCUUGGCUUUAAUGUUAGAAGAUUGCGGGUAGCCAACAUCAGAACAGGACGUAAUAAGCUUUGCCUCUUCGUUUAAUUCUGUGUUGGACUUGCUCUGCCAUUUAAACCAUUUCAUGAUUUUGACCUCAGAUCAGAUAAGGAUACCCGCUGAACUUAAGCAUAUCAAUAAGCGGAGGCU